Long non-coding RNA from Homarus americanus (American lobster), 254 nucleotides. RefSeq lists it as uncharacterized. The transcript has 2 exons. The record is from RefSeq and is a predicted model, not a curated record. Lineage: Eukaryota; Metazoa; Arthropoda; Malacostraca; Decapoda; Nephropidae.
ACGUGGCGACACUCUCAACCAAACAGCCCCUCCUUCAGCCCCUCCUUCAGACCCUGGUUCAGUCCCUUCACAGAAAAAGGGCUUCAGUCUUCCUCAGCUGUUGCCUUCACGGUCCAGUAACCCAUAUAAACCCCUUGAUGAUGACAAAUAAACAGAAGAACUAACGCCAUUUUGACCUUAAUUCACAGAUGUUCGUGGACAGAAUGAACAUCUGCUUGACGGAGAAACACCUUUACCAGAUCAAGAAAUAACCU